Molecule: ribosomal RNA, 477 nt
Filed under: uncultured organism
Description: partial 16S ribosomal RNA
Rfam family: Bacterial small subunit ribosomal RNA
Source: RNAcentral
ACACUCCUACGGGAGGCAGCAGUGGGGAAUUUUGGACAAUGGGCGAAAGCCUGAUCCAGCCAUGCCGCGUGCAGGAUGAAGGCCUUCGGGUUGUAAACUGCUUUUGUACGGAACGAAACGGCCUUUUCUAAUAAAGAGGGCUAAUGACGGUACCGUAAGAAUAAGCACCGGCUAACUACGUGCCAGCAGCCGCGGUAAUACGUAGGGUGCAAGCGUUAAUCGGAAUUACUGGGCGUAAAGUGUGCGCAGGCGGUUAUGUAAGACAGUUGUGAAAUCCCCGGGCUCAACCUGGGAACUGCAUCUGUGACUGCAUAGCUAGAGUACGGUAGAGGGGGAUGGAAUUCCGCGUGUAGCAGUGAAAUGCGUAGAUAUGCGGAGGAACACCGAUGGCGAAGGCAAUCCCCUGGACCUGUACUGACGCUCAUGCACGAAAGCGUGGGGAGCAAACAGGAUUAGAUACCCCGGUAGUCCCAUGAU